UACGUAGGGUCCGAGCGUUGUCCGGAAUUAUUGGGCGUAAAGAGCUCGUAGGCGGUUUGUCGCGUCUGCUGUGAAAUCCCGAGGCUCAACCUCGGGCCUGCAGUGGGUACGGGCAGACUGGAGUGCGGUAGGGGAGAAUGGAAUUCCUGGUGUAGCGGUGGAAUGCGCAGAUAUCAGGAGGAACACCGAUGGCGAAGGCGGUUCUCUGGGCCGUAACUGACGCUGAGGAGCGAAAGCGUGGGGAGCGAACAGG
This 253-nucleotide ribosomal RNA is filed under the name uncultured bacterium. Its description in RNAcentral is "partial 16S ribosomal RNA". It matches the Rfam family "Bacterial small subunit ribosomal RNA", at positions 524 to 776 of the family's 1533-position model. The record is from RNAcentral.